GCGCAAUGGGGGAAACCCUGACGCAGCGACGCCGCGUGCGGGAUGACGGUCUUCGGAUUGUAAACCGCUUUUCUCGGGGACGAUAAUCGACGGUACCCCGAGGAAGAAGCCCCGGCUAACUCCGUGCCAGCAGCCGCGGUAAGACGAGGGGGCAAGCGUUGUCCGGAAUUACUGGGCGUAAAGCGCUCGUAGGCGGUCGCGUACGGCGGUGGUGAAAUCUCCCGGCUCAACUGGGAGAGGCCCGCCGCAACGGCGUGACUCGAGGGUGGUAGAGGCAGAUGGAAUUCCUGGUGUAGCGGUGAAAUGCGUAGAGAUCAGGAGGAACACCCGUGGCGAAGGCGGUCUGCUGGGCCACACCUGACGCUGAGGAGCGAAAGCUAGGGGAGUGAACGGGAUUAGAUACCCCGGUAAUCCUAGCUGUAAACGAUGGAUACUAGGUGUCAGCGGUAUCGACCCCGCUGGUGCCGCAGCUAACGCGAUAAGUAUCCCGCCUGGGGAGUACGGCCGCAAGGUUG
Molecule: ribosomal RNA, 515 nt
Filed under: uncultured bacterium
Lineage: Bacteria
Description: bacterial SSU rRNA
Rfam family: Bacterial small subunit ribosomal RNA
Source: RNAcentral